GCUAUUAUCCCUAAAUUUUUCAUCUAAACUUUUUUGUUUCUCAAAUCUUUUCACACACAACCACAACUAGGGUUCCACAGAGUAGAACCCAAAGAAAACAAAGAAGAAUGAGAGAAUCCUAGAGCAUUCUUAUUCCAAACGACUUGCUCCUCCAUCCUCGAAGAUAAAUGGAGUUCACUUCCGGCCACCGUGUGCCGCUGUUGUCGUUUCAGACGAAAAAAAUGUAGAAACUGUUUGAUUUUCGAUGACCCGUCGAAACUUAUGUGGUUUCAUCGAAUUGCUUUCUCUCUGAACGCACAAUAACCACUAGAGGUGACGAAUUAGAAGAUUAUUUGUUAUACUGAAAGACAAACGUGGAUCACUUGUAAAUAUGGUUCUGAUUCACUUCAUAACUAGGGAUCUUCAUUCACGUUCGAUUUCAUUGAUCUAAUUUUUAAUUUGUUUGGCGACAAGAUAACAUGUGAAAUCAAACAAGGAAUCUAAUGGUUGAUGUAAUUUAUGGUUAACUCGCAAGAUGUUGAUGAGGGAAUAUGGGUUCUACAGAGGACGAGUUGAAGAUGGAUAUGAGGAUCAGGUUAAAAAAUCAUCCAGCAACAGAUUUUAGUAACUAUUUAUUAGUUGUUAGGACUUUAGAGUUAAACUUCAAUGAGCCAUAAGCCUAUAACCAUCGUGAAUACAACAACAAGCUAUUAUUUUAUGACUUUAAAUCUAUUUAGACAUUGUCUUUA
Helianthus annuus (common sunflower) is the source of this 728-nucleotide long non-coding RNA. RefSeq lists it as uncharacterized. The transcript is spliced from 2 exons. The record is from RefSeq and is a predicted model, not a curated record. Lineage: Eukaryota; Viridiplantae; Streptophyta; Magnoliopsida; Asterales; Asteraceae.